UUACAUGUUUGGGAUGCA
This 18-nucleotide small nuclear RNA is filed under the name Arabidopsis thaliana (thale cress). RNAcentral describes it as "snRNA_05766". Lineage: Eukaryota; Viridiplantae; Streptophyta; Magnoliopsida; Brassicales; Brassicaceae. The record is from RNAcentral.